This is an RNA transcript of Oncorhynchus kisutch (coho salmon), 4013 nucleotides long. It is a transcript of the gene named ribose 5-phosphate isomerase A (ribose 5-phosphate epimerase), with no coding region annotated. Lineage: Eukaryota; Metazoa; Chordata; Actinopteri; Salmoniformes; Salmonidae. The record is from RefSeq and is a predicted model, not a curated record. The transcript has 8 exons.
CGCAGCACUAAUCGAGGAAGGUACAUGUACACAGAUAUACAUGUCAACAGUUCAGUGGGUUUAACGCGUUGGUCGAGCGGCAUAAGGACUCAGCAACAACACAGUAGGUUUAUUUUGCAGCACAUCGUGCAUUUGUCAGUCCUUGAAGGAGGUUGUGUAUCGUCGAUGGGCAGGGCUAUGCUCCUCCAGAGGUGGCUCGGUCCCACCCUGCUGUCAGCUGGCCACCGUUCUGCAGGAGGGAGGAAACAGACGCCGUUCACCCCCAAGCUGAAACACGUGUCUCUCUUUAGGAGUCCCAGCAGCAGACACGGCAUGGCGGAAGAAGCGAAGAAACUAGCAGGCUAUGCUGCGGUGGAUAAUCAUGUUCAGAACAACCAGGUGGUUGGAGUGGGCAGUGGAUCCACCAUUGUGUAUGCUGUAGACAGACUAGGUGAGUGUGAGGUGCGAUGGCUGUGUAUCAUGUAUUCUACGGGGAUCUCAGAGAGCCGACUCUAAUCUGGCAGAUGGCCCUCAACAUUUGAUCUUGUCCUCCAGGCUCGUCAGUUGAUUCUGCAGCAUGGUCUAACCCUGUCUGAUCUGGAUAGACACCCAGAGCUGGACGUGGCCAUCGAUGGGGCAGACGAGGUGGAUGCUGCUCUCACACUCAUCAAAGGAGGAGGAGGCUGUCUGACUCAGGAGAAGAUUGUAGCCGGCUGUGCCAAACACUUCAUCGUCAUCGCUGACUUCAGGAAGGACUCCUCGGUCCUGGGUCAGCAGUGGAAGAAGGGUGUUCCAAUUGAGGUGAUCCCUAUGGCCUACGUCCCCGUCUCCAGGACUAUAGCCAAGCGCUUCGGAGGGGAGGCAGUACUCCGCAUGGCCAUCAGUAAAGCUGGUCCGGUGGUAACGGACAACAGUAACUUCAUUCUGGACUGGAAGUUUGAACACACUCACAACUGGAAGGAGGUCAAUAUCGCUAUCAAGAUGAUUCCAGGUGUGGUAGAGACAGGUCUGUUUGUGGGGAUGGCAGAGCGGGUGUACUUUGGGAUGGAGGAUGGUAAUGUUGGGGUCAGAGACCCUCCAGUCAACUGACCUGAGCCCUGCUCCACCUGGUACCAACCAGCAACUCCCCCCUCCACCUGGAACCAACCAGCAACUCCCCCCUCCACCUGGAACCAACCAGCAACCCCCCCCCUCCACCUGGAACCAACCAGCAGCCCCCUCCUCCACCUGGAACCAACCAGCAGCCCCCUCCUCCAUCUGGAACCAACCAGCAGCCCCCUCCUCCAUCUGGAACCAACCAGCAGCCCCCUCCUCCAUCUGGAACCAACCAGCACCCCCCUCCUCCACCUGGAACCAACCAGCACCCCCCUCCUCCACCUGGAACCAACCAGCCUCAACCACAGUGCCCUAUUUUAUUAUGGAUGCAUCCCAAAAGGCCAGCUAUUCUCUAUAUAAUGCACUACCUUAGACCAGAGCCCUAUUAGAGCCCUAUGGGUCCUGGUCAGAGCCCUAUUAGAGCCCUAUGGGUCCUGGUCAAAGAGCCCUAUUAGAGCCCUCGGGGUCCUGGUCAAAGAGCCCUAUUAGAGCCUUCUGGGUCCUGGUUAAAGUGCCCUAUUAGAGCCCUAUGGGUCCUGGUCAAAGAGCCCUAUUAGAGCCCUCGGGGUCCUGGUCAAAGAGCCCUAUUAGAGCCUUCUGGGUCCUGGUUAAAGUGCCCUAUUAGAGCCCUAUGGGUCCUGGUCAAAGAGCCCUAUUAGAGCCCUAUGGGUCCUGGUCACAGUGCCCUAUUAGAGCCCUCUGGGUCCUGGUUAAAGAGCGCUAUUAGAGCCCUCUGGGUCCUGACAAAAGUACCCUAUUAGAGCCCUAUGGGUCCUGGUCACAGUGCCCUAUUAAAGCCCUAUGGGUCCUGGUCACAGUGCGCUAUUAGAGCCCUCUGGGUCCUGGUUAAAGUGCCCUAUGGUUCCUGGUCACCGUGCCCUAUUAGAGCCCUAUGGGUCCUGGUCAAAGAGCCCUAUUAGAGCCCUAUGGGUCCUGGUUAAAGUGCCCUAUUAGAGCCCUAUGGGUCCUGGUCAAAGAGCCCUAAUAGAGCCCUAUUAGAGCCCUAUGGGUCCUGGUCAAAGAGCCCUAUUAGAGCCCUAUGGGUCCUGGUCAAAGAGCCCUAUUAGAGCCCUAUGUGUCCUGGUCAAAGAGCCCUACUAGAGCCCUAUGGGUCCUGGUCAAAGAGCCCUAUGGGUCCUGGUCAAAGUGCCCUAUUAGAGCCCUAUGGGUCCUGGUCAAAGAGCCAUAUUAGAGCCCUAUGGGUCCUGGUCAAAGAGCCCUAUGGGUCCUGGUCAAAGUGCCCUAUUAGAGCCCUAUGGGUCCUGGUCACAGUGCCCUAUUAGAGCCCUGUCGGUCUAGUUAUAAACUUGUAGCCCGUAUUGACACACUGUGGCUGUAGCUAAACCUGCAUGGACUCCCUGAGUGGUUUUUAUUCUCUUCAGAUAAACGGAGAACCCUGGUGCUGUUGGGGCACACUGAAACCAAUGGGCCCUCGUCAAAUGUAGUGCACUAAAAUAGGCAAUAGGGUGGCAUUUUGACCACUAGCCUGAACAUCUGUCUCUAUACUGAGAACUGUCUCAUCCGUUUGCCCUUUCAACUGUCUUACAACAUGUUGUUGAUCAUUUGCCUGGUCCCAGGUCUGCCUCUGGUUGCCUGGUCCCAGGUCUGCCUCUGGUUGCCUGGUCCCAGGUCUGCCUCUGGUUGCCUGGUCCCAGGUCUGCCUCUGGUUGCCUGGUCCCAGGUCUGCCUCUGGUUGCCUGGUCCCAGGUCUGCCUCUGGUUGCCUGGUCCCAGGUCUGCCUCUGGUUGCCUGGUCCCAGGUCUGCCUCUGGUUGCCUGGUCCCAGGUCUGCCUCUGGUUGCCUGGUCCCAGGUCUGCCUCUGGUUGCCUGGUCCCAGGUUUGCCUCUGGUUGCCUGGUCCCAGGUCUGCCUCUGGUUGCCUGGUCCCAGGUCUGCCAAGCUAACAAUGCGUGUUGAAGUCGGCAGGAUGGCCCACACACUGUUUCUCAGGACAUGUCUCUGUCUAGUUGUUGCACAUCGUUUCCUUUCGUUGCUCAAGCCAGCCUUGUGCCAUUCUCUUACCUAAUACCAAAGUUGCAGUGCCUGGAUUUACAAAACAUUUCUUAAGGUUUUCAAAAUCCAGGCCCUGGUGUACUCAAUGUUCCCUGAGUCCAAACAGCAGUACAGGGGAAGUUGUGUUCAAAGGGGGUGGUCACCUUAACACUUGAACACGGUUAUAAUGCACCAAAUGUAACUAUUAAAUGGUCGUGCAUGUCCCGAUCUGUAGCCUACUGGCUGUCCGUGUCUGGCUCCAAUAACAUCACUUCUUCUAUUGUAGAUCCUUUAUGGGUCAAUUAGCAGGAUGUUGCAGUUUAGCACCAGCUACACCUCUCUCUACCUACCAUAGCUAUACCUACCAUAGCUAUACCUCUCUAUACCUACCAUAGCUAUACCUCUCUAUACCUACCAUAGCUACACCUCUCUAUACCUACCAUAGCUACACCUCUCUCUACCUACCAUAGCUACACCUCUCUCUACCUACCAUAGCUACACCUCUCUCUACCUACCAUAGCUAUACCUCUCUACCUACCAUAGCUAUACCUACCAUAGCUAUACCUCUCUCUACCUACCAUAGCUACACCUCUCUCUACCUACCAUAGCUACACCUCUCUCUACCUACCAUAGCUACACCUCUCUCUACCUACCAUAGCUAUACCUCUCUACCUACCAUAGCUAUACCUACCAUAGCUACACCUCUCUCUACCUACCAUAGCUAUACCUCUCUCUACCUACCAUAGCUAUACCUCUCUCUACCUACCAUAGCUAUACCUCUCUCUACCUACCAUAGCUAUACCUCUCGCUAUACCUACCAUGGCUACACCUCUCUCUACCUACCAUGGCUACACCUUUCAAUGACUAUAUGACUGUGAUUAGUUGGCUGUCUUCAAGCUGUAAGGUACUGGGUUGUAUUAAAGAUUAAACCAACAUUAGUUUCCUUUA